AAGUUGAAGGAUAAAACAAACUCAAUUCAUUUUGCCUAAAUAGAGAUAUCCUUCUCUUCUCCUUUUUACAAAUUUAUUCAACUUUCAGAUUUUAACGAUGAUUGUGAACGACAAAUCUGAAAUUUCUUUUCAAUAAUACCAAACAAAAAUUUUAUGUAGUAUUCCAAACAUUCAAUCAAAUUGUCCAAGCAUGGAGCAUUACAAAAUAUU
This 210-nucleotide long non-coding RNA is filed under the name Phoenix dactylifera (date palm). RNAcentral's name for it is "long non-coding RNA (PDAC_LNC016513)". Lineage: Eukaryota; Viridiplantae; Streptophyta; Magnoliopsida; Arecales; Arecaceae. The record is from RNAcentral.